AUAGGCCACAAGGCGACGACGGGUAGCUGGCCUGAGAGGGUGACCGGCCACACUGGGACUGAGACACGGCCCAGACUCCUACGGGAGGCAGCAGUGGGGAAUAUUGCACAAUGGGCGAAAGCCUGAUGCAGCGACGCCGCGUGAGGGAUGACGGCCUUCGGGUUGUAAACCUCUUUCAGCAGGGACGAAGCGAAAGUGACGGUACCUGCAGAAGAAGCACCGGCUAACUACGUGCAGC
RNAcentral lists this ribosomal RNA (238 nucleotides) under uncultured bacterium. Its description in RNAcentral is "partial 16S ribosomal RNA". It matches the Rfam family "Bacterial small subunit ribosomal RNA", at positions 260 to 512 of the family's 1533-position model. The record is from RNAcentral.